This is a long non-coding RNA of Lingula anatina, 617 nucleotides long. NCBI's taxonomy places the organism in Eukaryota, Metazoa, Brachiopoda, Lingulata, Lingulida, Lingulidae. The record is from RefSeq and is a predicted model, not a curated record.
UAUGAUUAAUAUCAACACGCAAAAGCGACUCCUUUCGGUUGCUCACCGGUUUCAGCGCUGCCACGCGACCCUCACCCUCCCCAAAGUUAUGUGAGUUUAGUCAAUUGGUUUUCUAUGUAUGACAUAGACACCUAUACAAAAGAAGGAGCACGAAAUGAAAAGAGGCAAUUAAUAUCGGGAUUGAUUUACAAGCAUGGCGGUGCACACAUUAUGCAUUAUUAUACAUAUUUGCAUUUAUAAACAUGCAAGGACAGGUUGGCGAUUCACUUUCAGAACUAUCUGUUGGGGCGAACGCUUCCUCGGAAGAAAGGGAUAGCCGCUUAAAAGUCCAGCGCCAAAAUGAACAUAAGGUUUACAGCCUGCAUAGCGAUAGUUUUAGCAGUGGUGGUCCUAGUUUCCACGCGACCCCUGAACAAGCGGCAGUGGAUUAAAAGACAGAGUGCAAAGGCCAGAGGGCAUGGAAGGAGAUUUAAUACCGCUGGCAGUAUACCAAAGCUUCCCCCAAAACACACACGGCAUAUCAUUAAAGAACACGGAAAAGUUCCGUUCGUGAAAGUCGACGGGGAGGUGAAAUCUUCCUAUGGCAAAUUGAUCCUGACUGUAAAGCCAUAUGCUGC